CCUACGGGGGGCUGCAGUAGGGAAUCUUCCACAAUGGGCGAAAGCCUGAUGGAGCAACGCCGCGUGGGUGAAGAAGGCCCUCGGAUCGUAAAACUCCGUUGUUAGAGAAGAAAGUGCGUGAGAGUAACUGUUCACGUUUCGACGGUAUCUAACCAGAAAGCCACGGCUAACUACGUGCCAGCAGCCGCGGUAAUACGUAGGUGGCAAGCGUUAUCCGGAUUUAUUUGGCGUAAAGGGAACGCAGGCGGUCUUUUAAGUCUGAUGUGAAAGCCUGAGGCUUAAACGGGGUAGUGCAUUUGAUACUGGGAGGCUAGAGAGCAGACGAGGUGAGUGGAACGCAAGGUGUAGCGGUGAAAUGCGUAGAGAUA
Molecule: ribosomal RNA, 368 nt
Filed under: uncultured bacterium
Lineage: Bacteria
Description: partial 16S ribosomal RNA
Rfam family: Bacterial small subunit ribosomal RNA
Source: RNAcentral